AGGAUAAUAGUUAAUAUAUAACAUUUAAUUUGCAUUUAAAAAAAAUUGAAUUUAUCAAUUUAUCUUA
Molecule: transfer RNA, 67 nt
Filed under: Staphylinidae sp. BMNH 1274698
Lineage: Eukaryota; Metazoa; Arthropoda; Insecta; Coleoptera; Staphylinidae
Description: tRNA-Ala
Source: RNAcentral